CCUACGGGAGGCAGCAGUGGGGAAUAUUGGGCAAUGGAGGAAACUCUGACCCAGCGACGCCGCGUGCGGGAUGAAGGCCUUCGGGUUGUAAACCGCUUUCAGUAGGGAAGAAGCGAAAAGUGACGGUACCUACAAAAGAAGCACCGGCUAACUAUGUGCCAGCAGCCGCGGUAAUACAUAGGGUGCAAGCGUUGUCCGGAAUUAUUGGGCGUAAAGAGCUCGUAGGUCGUUUGUUACGUCGGAUGUGAAAACCUGAGGCUCAACCUCAGGCCUGCAUUCGAUACGGGCAAACUAGAGUUUGGUAGGGGAGACUGGAAUUCCUGGUGUAGCGGUGGAAUGCGCAGAUAUCAGGAGGAACACCAAUGGCGAAGGCAGGUCUCUGGGCCAAUACUGACACUGAGGAGCGAAAGUCUGGGGAGCGAACAGGAUUAGGAUACCCUGGUAGUCCAGACCGUAAACGGUGGGCACUAGUUGUGGGAACCUUCCACGGUUUCUGCGACGCAGCUAACGCAUUAAGUGCCCGCCUGGGAGUCGAUCGCAGAUAAACUAANGAAUUGAACGG
This 562-nucleotide ribosomal RNA is filed under the name uncultured bacterium. RNAcentral's name for it is "bacterial SSU rRNA". It matches the Rfam family "Bacterial small subunit ribosomal RNA", at positions 338 to 917 of the family's 1533-position model. The record is from RNAcentral.